UCUGACCUCGAAUCAGGUAGGGAUACCCGCUGAACUUAAGCAUAUCAAUAAGCGGAGGA
This 59-nucleotide ribosomal RNA is filed under the name Maasoglossum verrucisporum. Its description in RNAcentral is "partial 28S ribosomal RNA". It matches the Rfam family "Eukaryotic large subunit ribosomal RNA", at positions 1 to 57 of the family's 3401-position model. The record is from RNAcentral. Lineage: Eukaryota; Fungi; Ascomycota; Geoglossomycetes; Geoglossales; Geoglossaceae.